UCAACAGCAACGGUAUCUUUUGUUUCUUCUGAUGAUCCGGCAGCUAGUUCGUCGCCCUCGAUUUUGUCUAGAGGUACUGCAUCUUCAACGUUGGAACUUUCGCCUUCCUGAUCAGCCUUGUCUUUGGUUGGUGUCCCGUCAACUUGGUCUUGUCCGUGCAAUGUGGUCUCAUUCUCUGCUUCGUGGACUUGCUCAGCCUCGCGUGGUGUUUCUUCAGCCGCUUCUUUCUUGUCUUGAGCAUCAGACUCUGGCGCAGCAGAUACUUGAUCAGUUCUAUGAUCCUCG
RNAcentral lists this long non-coding RNA (285 nucleotides) under Selaginella moellendorffii. RNAcentral's name for it is "long non-coding RNA (SMOE_LNC001120)". The record is from RNAcentral. Lineage: Eukaryota; Viridiplantae; Streptophyta; Lycopodiopsida; Selaginellales; Selaginellaceae.